ACGGAAAUGGACCCUGAGCGGUCCAUAAAUCAAAACGCGCACAGCGCGUUUUGUUAUAUUACCGUUGCAAACAUGGAAAGACCGAAAUACCCACACAUCUCUCAUCUCUGUGCGCGCUGUGCCCUCAUCUCUCAUCUCUGCUCUCCCUUCGCAUUUGACGCCUCCAUCUGUUCUCUCUGCCUUGCUCUGCCUUCGUACCAAAAACACUGAUCUGCUACCAAAAACCAGAUGGGUAAAAACACAACUUCCAACCCCGAGGCAAAAAAGGCUAGAGCAUUAUGGGAUAAUAAUUCAAGCUGGACCACUACUUUUUGUAAUCUUUGUGUGGAACAGAUUCAACUUGGGAAUAGGAAUAAAGGUGUUGCCUUUAAGACCAUAGGUUGGACCAAUAUAGUGACCAAAUUUUGUGAUGAAACCGGUCAAAAUUAUGAUAGGGAGCAAUUAAAAAGUAGGUGGGAUGUGUUAAAAGGUGAUUGGAGAUUGUGGGAAAAAUUGAGGAUGCAUGACACAGGUUUAGGUUGGGAUACAGCGAAGGGAACAAUUCUUGCUCCUGAUGAUUGGUGGGACCGAAAGUUGAAGGAAUUACCCAAAGCUAAAAAAUUUCGAGAGAAAGGUCUACAGAAUCUAGAACAACUUGAUAUAA
Molecule: long non-coding RNA, 643 nt
Organism: Quercus lobata
Lineage: Eukaryota; Viridiplantae; Streptophyta; Magnoliopsida; Fagales; Fagaceae
Exons: 4
Source: RefSeq, a predicted model, not a curated record